GAUGAAGGACGUGAUAAGCUGCGAUAAGCUUCGGGGAGUUGCACGUAAACUUUGAUCCGAAGAUUUCCGAAUGAGGAAACUCACUUAGAGUAAUGUCUAAGUAUCAUUAAGUGAAUACAUAGCUUAAUGAGGGGAACUCAGGGAACUGAAACAUCUAAGUACCUGAAGGAAGAGAAAGAAAUUCGAUUCCGUAAGUAGCGGCGAGCGAACGCGGAUUAGCCCAAACCAAUAAAGUUUUCUUUAUUGGGGUUGCGGACAUAUCAUAACGAAGAGGUAUCGUAAUUGAAGAGGUUUGGAAAGACCCACCACAGAAGGUAAUAGUCCUGUAUGUUAAACGAGAAGACUUUAGAUAUGAUCCAGAGUACCACGGGACACGUGAAACCCUGUGGGAAGCAGGAGGGACCACCCUCCAAGGCUAAAUACUACCUAGUGACCGAUAGCGUAUAGUACCGUGAGGGAAAGGUGAAAAGAACCCCGGGAGGGGAGUGAAAUAGAACCUGAAACCCUGCACUUACAAGCUGUGGAAGCACAUUUCUUGUGUGACCGCGUACUUUUUGUAGAACGGGCCAACGAGUUACGUUAAGUAGCAAGGUUAAGCACUUAAGGUGCGGAGCCGUAGCGAAAGCGAGUUUUAACUGAGCGUUCAGUUACUUGACGUAGACCCGAAACCGGGCGACCUACCCAUGAGCAGGAUGAAGCGAAAGUAAAAUUUCGUGGAGGUCCGAACCCACGAGCGUUGAAAAGCUCGGGGAUGACUUGUGGGUAGCGGUGAAAUUCCAAUCGAGCCCGGAGAUAGCUGGUUCUCCCCGAAAUAGCUUUAGGGCUAGCCUCAAGGUGAGAGAUACGGAGGUAGAGCACUGAAUGUCCUAGGGGGUAUUGCACCUACCGAAGACUAUCAAACUCCGAAUGCCGUCAUCUUAUACUUGGGAGUCAGACUGUGGGUGAUAAGAUUCAUAGUCGAAAGGGCAACAGCCCAGAUCGUCAGCUAAGGUCCCUAAAUGUAAGUUAAGUGGUAAAGGAUGUGGGAUUGCACAGACAACCAGGAUGUUGGCUUAGAAGCAGCCACUCAUUCAAAGAGUGCGUAAUAGCUCACUGGUCGAGUGAUCCUGCGCCGAAGAUUUCCGGGGCUAAAACUUACUACCGAAGCUACGGCAUCAGUAAUGAUGGGUAGGGGAGCUUCCCAUACGGGUUGAAGCAUGACCGUAAGGACAUGUGGACAGUAUGGGAGUGAGAAUGUUGGCAUGAGUAGCGAGAUGUGGGUGAGAAUCCCACAGGCCGUAAACCCAAGGUUUCCAGGGGAAGGUUCGUCCGCCCUGGGUUAGUCGGGACCUAAGCUGAGGCCGAAAGGCGUAGGUGAUGGACAACAGGUUGAUAUUCCUGUACUACCGAUAACCGUUUGAGAGAAGGGAUGACACAGUAGGAUAAGCUAAGCACACUGUUGGUUAUGUGUGCCCAAGCAUUGAGGCAGUCAAAGUAGGCAAAUCCGCUUUGAUAAUGCUGGGAUGUGAUGGGGAGCGAAAUUUAGUAGCGAAGUAGCUGAUUUCACACUGUCAAGAAAAGUCUCUAUCGAGGUUAAAGGUACCCGUACCGCAAACCGACACAGGUGGGUGAGGAGAGUAUCCUAAGGCCAGCGAGAGAACUGUUGUUAAGGAACUCGGCAAAAUGACCCCGUAACUUAGGGAUAAGGGGUGCCACCAUCAGGUGGCCGCAGAGAAUAGGCCCAAGCGACUGUUUACCAAAAACAUAGGUUUCUGCUAAGUCGCAAGACGAUGUAUAGGAGCUGACGCCUGCCCGGUGCUGGAAGGUUAAGGGGAUCUGUUAGAGCAAUCGAAGCAGUGAACUUAAGCCCCAGUAAACGGCGGCCGUAACUAUAACGGUCCUAAGGUAGCGAAAUUCCUUGUCGGGUAAGUUCCGACCCGCACGAAAGGCGUAACGAUUUGGGCACUGUCUCAACAACAGACUCGGUGAAAUUGUAAUUCCGGUGAAGAUGCCGGAUACCUGCGACAGGACGGAAAGACCCCAUGGAGCUUUACUGUAGCUUGACAUUGGGUCUUGGUACUACAUGUACAGGAUAGGUGGGAGGCUUUGAAACCAGGACGCCAGUUUUGGCGGAGCCAUCCUUGGGAUACCACCCUUGUAGUACUGGGACUCUAACCAUAGGCCAUGAAUCUGGUCUUGGGACACUGUCAGGUGGGCAGUUUGACUGGGGCGGUCGCCUCCCAAAAGGUAACGGAGGCGCUCAAAGGUUCUCUCAGUACGGUCGGAAAUCGUACGUAGAGUGUAAAGGCAAAAGAGAGCUUGAUUGCAAGACAUACAGGUCGAGCAAGGAUGAAAAUCGGACUUAGUGAUCCGGUGGUUCUGCGUGGAAGGGCCAUCGCUCAACGGAUAAAAGCUACCCUGGGGAUAACAGGCUUAUCUCCCCCAAGAGUCCACAUCGACGGGGAGGUUUGGCACCUCGAUGUCGGCUCAUCACAUCCUGGGGCUGUAGUAGGUCCCAAGGGUUGGGCUGUUCGCCCAUUAAAGUGGUACGCGAGCUGGGUUCAGAACGUCGUGAGACAGUUCGGUCCCUAUCCGUCGCAGGCGUAGGAAAUUUGAGAAGACCUGUCCUUAGUACGAGAGGACCGGGAUGGACGUACCUCUGGUGUACCAGUUGUCCUGCCAAGGGCAUGGCUGGGUAGCUAUGUACGGAAUGGAUAAGCGCUGAAAGCAUCUAAGCGCGAAGCCAACUUCAAGAUAAGAUUUCCCACCGCAAGGGUAAGACCCCAGAAAGACUAUCUGGUUGAUAGGUCGAAGGUGUAAGUGCAGCAAUGUAUUUAGCUUAUCGAUACUAAUAGGUCGAGGACUUGACCAA
This 2851-nucleotide ribosomal RNA is filed under the name Clostridioides difficile. RNAcentral describes it as "partial 23S ribosomal RNA". It matches the Rfam family "Bacterial large subunit ribosomal RNA". Lineage: Bacteria; Bacillati; Bacillota; Clostridia; Peptostreptococcales; Peptostreptococcaceae. The record is from RNAcentral.